CCUCCUACUUCCUUCUGGAGCGCCUAGGAUUAGGGGUGGAGAUUUUUUAAGAGGGCUGGCGGUGACUCGACUUUUUCUCCCUUCUGGUUCCCCUCGCGGGUGCUGUCAGGGACCCAAGCCUGCCCGGCCAGCGGGCCUUGGAAGCCCCUGGCCUGGGAGGGUUUCCCAGGCCCCUCCUGGUGGAAGAAGCAGCCGCGGCACAGACCCCUGGCACUGCGCUGUGCCGCCCUGCUCUGCCCGGUGCACGGACGCGCUGCGGGGCUGCUGGCCUGAGGGAUGGGCCCGGGCGUUGGGCCGACGGGCAGGAGCGGAGAAAAGGACAGCGCGCAACAAGUAGGACUCGAGCGAGCGCCAGACUCCAGAACGGUGCCUGAACCCGGACUGUGACCAGGAACCAGCCAGGCCACCUGGAGGAUCGUGCUGCAGCUGCCCGCGUUUCCCAAAGGACGGGAUUUUAAAUGGGAAAGGGAAUUCCAGGUUGCAGGGGCAGAGAAUUGCAUUCUGACCACGGGUAUUCACUCCACCCACCUCUGUGUCAGCAGUGGUGCAGCUUCUCUUCAGAGGACUUGCCUACUCACCCUCAGUGCUGAGGCAUAAACCAGCUAGGCCAGUAGGGGAAAUAGGAGCUGAGAUAUCAGAAGCAUUUUGGAAAGGAGAUGGAUAAAACAGGUGGCUCCUAACUGAAGACACUAGGACCCACUGACAGCGGGGAAACAGCCCAGGCUGCACAUCACAGUCCUCAAAAGGCUCAGGAACUCGGUACCAGGACUGGGUGGGGCAGGGGUGGAGUGAGGGUGCGGGGUCGCUAAAUCAGGGGAGACUGAGUGAAAAGAAGACAGUUGGCUACCUAGAUCCUCUCCCUACCCGACUCCACGUCCUGACAGAGUCCCGAGGAUUAUUUUCUGAAGAAAGGUGCAGCAGGGUUUCUGGCACGGAGAACACCAGGCAUAGCUGAGGACUGGGUACUAUUCUGAAAGUGGGAAAUGAGCACUAUUACCAAUAAGGGCCCUAGUGGGAAACAGACCUCCAAAGGUUUCCACUGAGGGCCAUUUAGUGCAGGGACUAGUUACAAAGAUGUGAGUAGGACUAUGGGAACUUCAAUAGUGGGGCACCUAGGAACUGGCGACAGCAAGAAGCCUCACCACUCCCAACCCUCCAGGAAAGAGAAGGGCCUAGCUUUACGGUGCCUCCCACUGGUGAGGCCGACCAGGAGUCAAGAGCAACGGGAUUCAGGAUAUACUGUCCUUACCCUUGUCCUACGGCCAACAAAGGGUGGGAAAUGGAUCUAGAGAGGCAAGAAGAGAAUGACCGGCACAGUGAUGUUAUAGAUACUGCCUCCUCAGUCUGAGAGGUGCGGCCCCCCUUCCCCACUUGGCUACCAGAAAACUGACAGCCAUCGACUUUCCAAGUGAGUCAGU
Long non-coding RNA from Phyllostomus hastatus (greater spear-nosed bat), 1418 nucleotides. RefSeq lists it as uncharacterized. The record is from RefSeq and is a predicted model, not a curated record. The transcript is spliced from 3 exons. Lineage: Eukaryota; Metazoa; Chordata; Mammalia; Chiroptera; Phyllostomidae.